AGUGAACGCUGGCGGUAGGCCUAACACAUGCAAGUCGAACGGCAGCACAGUAAGAGCUUGCUCUUACGGGUGGCGAGUGGCGGACGGGUGAGGAAUACAUCGGAAUCUACUUUUUCGUGGGGGAUAACGUAGGGAAACUUACGCUAAUACCGCAUACGACCUACGGGUGAAAGCAGGGGAUCUUCGGACCUUGCGCGAUUGAAUGAGCCGAUGUCGGAUUAGCUAGUUGGCGGGGUAAAGGCCCACCAAGGCGACGAUCCGUAGCUGGUCUGAGAGGAUGAUCCGCCACACUGGAACCGAGACACGGUCCAGACUCCUACGGGAGGCAGCAGUGGGGAAUAUUGGACAAUGGGCGCAAGCCUGAUCCAGCCAUACCGCGUGGGUGAAGAAGGCCUUCGGGUUGUAAAGCCCUUUUGUUGGGAAAGAAAAGCAGCAGGUUAAUACCCCGCUGUUCUGACGGUACCCAAAGAAUAAGCACCGGCUAACUUCGUG
RNAcentral lists this ribosomal RNA (492 nucleotides) under uncultured bacterium. RNAcentral's name for it is "partial 16S ribosomal RNA". It matches the Rfam family "Bacterial small subunit ribosomal RNA", at positions 29 to 507 of the family's 1533-position model. The record is from RNAcentral.